UCACAGUUUGCACUGGCAGUCUUGUUAGAGUUCCCGACUUGACUCGCUGGCAACUAACAACAGGGGUUGCGCUCGUUAUAGGACUUAACCCGACACCUCACGGCACGAGCUGACGACAACCAUGCAGCACCUUGUAAAUUGUCCGAAGAAAAGUCUGUUUCCAAACCUGUCAAUCUACAUUUAAGCCUUGGUAAGGUUCCUCGCGUAUCAUCGAAUUAAACCACAUGCUCCACCGCUUGUGCGGGCCCCCGUCAAUUCCUUUGAGUUUCAGGCUUGCGCCCGUACUCCCCAGGUGGGAUGACGUUUCCAGGUUAGG
This 316-nucleotide unclassified non-coding RNA is filed under the name uncultured Flavobacteriaceae bacterium. RNAcentral describes it as "contains 16S-23S intergenic spacer region". Lineage: Bacteria; Pseudomonadati; Bacteroidota; Flavobacteriia; Flavobacteriales; Flavobacteriaceae. The record is from RNAcentral.